RNAcentral lists this ribosomal RNA (1557 nucleotides) under Staphylococcus aureus. Its description in RNAcentral is "16S ribosomal RNA". It matches the Rfam family "Bacterial small subunit ribosomal RNA". The record is from RNAcentral. Lineage: Bacteria; Bacillati; Bacillota; Bacilli; Caryophanales; Staphylococcaceae.
UUUUAUGGAGAGUUUGAUCCUGGCUCAGGAUGAACGCUGGCGGCGUGCCUAAUACAUGCAAGUCGAGCGAACGGACGAGAAGCUUGCUUCUCUGAUGUUAGCGGCGGACGGGUGAGUAACACGUGGAUAACCUACCUAUAAGACUGGGAUAACUUCGGGAAACCGGAGCUAAUACCGGAUAAUAUUUUGAACCGCAUGGUUCAAAAGUGAAAGACGGUCUUGCUGUCACUUAUAGAUGGAUCCGCGCUGCAUUAGCUAGUUGGUAAGGUAACGGCUUACCAAGGCAACGAUGCAUAGCCGACCUGAGAGGGUGAUCGGCCACACUGGAACUGAGACACGGUCCAGACUCCUACGGGAGGCAGCAGUAGGGAAUCUUCCGCAAUGGGCGAAAGCCUGACGGAGCAACGCCGCGUGAGUGAUGAAGGUCUUCGGAUCGUAAAACUCUGUUAUUAGGGAAGAACAUAUGUGUAAGUAACUGUGCACAUCUUGACGGUACCUAAUCAGAAAGCCACGGCUAACUACGUGCCAGCAGCCGCGGUAAUACGUAGGUGGCAAGCGUUAUCCGGAAUUAUUGGGCGUAAAGCGCGCGUAGGCGGUUUUUUAAGUCUGAUGUGAAAGCCCACGGCUCAACCGUGGAGGGUCAUUGGAAACUGGAAAACUUGAGUGCGGAAGAGGAAAGUGGAAUUCCAUGUGUAGCGGUGAAAUGCGCAGAGAUAUGGAGGAACACCAGUGGCGAAGGCGACUUUCUGGUCUGUAACUGACGCUGAUGUGCGAAAGCGUGGGGAUCAAACAGGAUUAGAUACCCUGGUAGUCCACGCCGUAAACGAUGAGUGCUAAGUGUUAGGGGGUUUCCGCCCCUUAGUGCUGCAGCUAACGCAUUAAGCACUCCGCCUGGGGAGUACGACCGCAAGGUUGAAACUCAAAGGAAUUGACGGGGACCCGCACAAGCGGUGGAGCAUGUGGUUUAAUUCGAAGCAACGCGAAGAACCUUACCAAAUCUUGACAUCCUUUGACAACUCUAGAGAUAGAGCCUUCCCCUUCGGGGGACAAAGUGACAGGUGGUGCAUGGUUGUCGUCAGCUCGUGUCGUGAGAUGUCGGGUUAAGUCCCGCAACGAGCGCAACCCUUAAGCUUAGUUGCCAUCAUUAAGUUGGGCACUCUAAGUUGACUGCCGGUGACAAACCGGAGGAAGGUGGGGAUGACGUCAAAUCAUCAUGCCCCUUAUGAUUUGGGCUACACACGUGCUACAAUGGACAAUACAAAGGGCAGCGAAACCGCGAGGUCAAGCAAAUCCCAUAAAGUUGUUCUCAGUUCGGAUUGUAGUCUGCAACUCGACUACAUGAAGCUGGAAUCGCUAGUAAUCGUAGAUCAGCAUGCUACGGUGAAUACGUUCCCGGGUCUUGUACACACCGCCCGUCACACCACGAGAGUUUGUAACACCCGAAGCCGGUGGAGUAACCUUUUAGGAGCUAGCCGUCGAAGGUGGGACAAAUGAUUGGGGUGAAGUCGUAACAAGGUAGCCGUAUCGGAAGGUGCGGCUGGAUCACCUCCUUUCUAA